Molecule: ribosomal RNA, 429 nt
Filed under: Acidobacteriota bacterium
Lineage: Bacteria; Pseudomonadati; Acidobacteriota
Also listed under: 2 other names
Description: Acidobacteria bacterium partial 16S ribosomal RNA
Rfam family: Bacterial small subunit ribosomal RNA
Source: RNAcentral
UAGGGAAUCUUCGGCAAUGGACGAAAGUCUGACCGAGCAACGCCGCGUGAGUGAAGAAGGUUUUCGGAUCGUAAAACUCUGUUGUUAGAGAAGAACAAGGACGUUAGUAACUGAACGUCCCCUGACGGUAUCUAACCAGAAAGCCACGGCUAACUACGUGCCAGCAGCCGCGGUAAUACGUAGGUGGCAAGCGUUGUCCGGAUUUAUUGGGCGUAAAGCGAGCGCAGGCGGUUUCUUAAGUCUGAUGUGAAAGCCCCCGGCUCAACCGGGGAGGGUCAUUGGAAACUGGGAGACUUGAGUGCAGAAGAGGAGAGUGGAAUUCCAUGUGUAGCGGUGAAAUGCGUAGGUAUAUGGAGGAACACCAGUGGCGAAGGCGGCUCUCUGGUCUGUAACUGACGCUGAGGCUCGAAAGCGUGGGGAGCAAACAGG